CCUACGGGUGGCAGCAGUGGGGAAUAUUGGACAAUGGGCGAAAGCCUGAUCCAGCCAUGCCGCGUGUGUGAAGAAGGCCUUAGGGUUGUAAAGCACUUUCAGUGGGGAAGAAAGCAUUAGGGUUAAUACCCUCGAGGAAGGACAUCACCCACAGAAGAAGCACCGGCUAACUCCGUGCCAGCAGCCGCGGUAAUACGGAGGGUGCGAGCGUUAAUCGGAAUUACUGGGCGUAAAGCGCGCGUAGGCGGUCUGAUAAGCCGGUUGUGAAAGCCCCGGGCUCAACCUGGGAACGGCAUCCGGAACUGUCAGGCUAGAGUGCAGUAGAGGAAGGUAGAAUUCCCGGUGUAGCGGUGAAAUGCGUAGAGAUCGGGAGGAAUACCAGUGGCGAAGGCGGCCUUCUGGACUGACACUGACGCUGAGGUGCGAAAGCGUGGGUAGCAAAUAGGAUUAGAUACCCCUGUAGUC
This 465-nucleotide ribosomal RNA is filed under the name Vreelandella stevensii. RNAcentral's name for it is "partial 16S ribosomal RNA". It matches the Rfam family "Bacterial small subunit ribosomal RNA", at positions 338 to 795 of the family's 1533-position model. The record is from RNAcentral. Lineage: Bacteria; Pseudomonadati; Pseudomonadota; Gammaproteobacteria; Oceanospirillales; Halomonadaceae.